UUGGUAGAAGCCAAAGGAGAGGCUAAUCACUGUUAAUGAUUGAAAUGAAGUUAUCUUCCUAUCAAG
This 66-nucleotide transfer RNA is filed under the name Coenobita brevimanus. RNAcentral describes it as "tRNA-Asn". The record is from RNAcentral. Lineage: Eukaryota; Metazoa; Arthropoda; Malacostraca; Decapoda; Coenobitidae.